AUGCAGAUUAGACAGCAGCGGUGAUCCAGAACCCCAAACCAGCGACUGACACUCAGCGAGAGCAAUGAACACACUCUCUCUCGCUGCAGGACACUAACCAGUGCUUUAUGAGCCUGACUCACCAGUGCCAUCUUGACCAUGUUAGCGCUCGAUGGAGUCUAUUAACGCCGAAAUAUCCAAGAUUCCCAAACACAGGCUAUCUUUAACCGAAUCCAGUGAGGUUAUUGAAUUAUUGCGGUCUGUUCUAAAACGAGAGCGAGUCGCCUGAGGGAACGGCGCACAGACGUCUCACAGCGGGAUGCUUGUGCUUUCGCCAGGUGUGUUCUGAUGUCUUCUGCA
Molecule: long non-coding RNA, 339 nt
Filed under: Sinocyclocheilus grahami
Lineage: Eukaryota; Metazoa; Chordata; Actinopteri; Cypriniformes; Cyprinidae
Description: lncRNA (ENSSGRG00000001216.1)
Source: RNAcentral